This 409-nucleotide ribosomal RNA is filed under the name bacterium enrichment culture clone ALO1_GLFRUDD03HGCXP. RNAcentral's name for it is "bacterial SSU rRNA". It matches the Rfam family "Bacterial small subunit ribosomal RNA", at positions 9 to 417 of the family's 1533-position model. The record is from RNAcentral.
GAGUUUGAUCCUGGCUCAGAUUGAACGCUGGCGGCAUGCCUUACACAUGCAAGUCGAACGGCAGCACGGGAGCUUGCUCCUGGUGGCGAGUGGCGAACGGGUGAGUAAUGCAUCGGAACGUAUCCUGGAGUGGGGGGAUAACGUAGCGAAAGUUACGCUAAUACCGCAUAUUCUGUGAGCAGGAAAGCGGGGGACCUUCGGGCCUCGCGCUCUUGGAGCGGCCGAUGUCGGAUUAGCUAGUUGGUGAGGUAAAGGCUCACCAAGGCGACGAUCCGUAGCAGGUCUGAGAGGAUGAUCUGCCACACUGGAACUGAGACACGGUCCAGACUCCUACGGGAGGCAGCAGUGGGGAAUUUUGGACAAUGGGGGCAACCCUGAUCCAGCCAUGCCGCGUGAGUGAAGAAGGCCU